This 422-nucleotide ribosomal RNA is filed under the name uncultured bacterium. RNAcentral's name for it is "bacterial SSU rRNA". It matches the Rfam family "Bacterial small subunit ribosomal RNA", at positions 61 to 507 of the family's 1533-position model. The record is from RNAcentral.
GUCGUACGAGAGUUUUUACUCUAGUGGCGGACGGGUGAGUAACACGUGAGAAUUUACCUUUAGGAGGGGGAUAACAGCGUAUCAAUAGAUAUUACGGAAACGGCUGCUAAUACCCCAUAUGCUUUUGAGUGAAAUAGAUUUAUCUGCCUAAAGAGAAGCUCGCGGCUGAUUAGCUUGUUGGUAAGGUAAUGGCUUACCAAGGCGACGAUCAGUAUCUGGUUUGAGAGGACGAUCAGACACACUGGAACUGAGACACGGUCCAGACUCCUACGGGAGGCAGCAGUGGGGAAUUUUCCGCAAUGGGCGAAAGCCUGACGGAGCAAUACCGCGUGAGGGAAGACGGCCUAUGGGUUGUAAACCUCUUUUUUCAGGGAGGAAUUCAAUGACGUGUACCUGAGGAAUAAGCAUCGGCUAACUCCGUG